AGCCAGACUCCUACGGGAGGCAGCAGUGAGGAAUAUUGGUCAAUGGGCUUACGCCUGAACCAGCCAAGUCGCGUGAGGGAAGACUGCCCUAUGGGUUGUAAACCUCUUUUGUCAGGGAGCAACGCCGGCUAUGUGUAGCCGGACUGAGAGUACCUGAAGAAAAAGCAUCGGCUAACUCCGUGCCAGCAGCCGCGGUAAUACGGAGGAUGCGAGCGUUAUCCGGAUUUAUUGGGUUUAAAGGGUGCGUAGGCGGAUUGCAAAGGAAGCGGAAAAAUCGGGGGGCCCAACCUCGCUCCGCCGUUGAAACUGGCGUUCUUGAGUGGGCGAGAAGUAUGCGGAAUGCGUGGUGUAGCGGUGAAAUGCAUAGAUAUCACGCAGAACUCCGAUUGCGAAGGCAGCAUACCGGCGCCCUACUGACGCUGAGGCACGAAAGUGCGGGGAUCGAACAGGAUUAGAUACCCCGGUA
This 466-nucleotide ribosomal RNA is filed under the name uncultured bacterium. RNAcentral's name for it is "bacterial SSU rRNA". It matches the Rfam family "Bacterial small subunit ribosomal RNA", at positions 329 to 792 of the family's 1533-position model. The record is from RNAcentral.